Molecule: ribosomal RNA, 324 nt
Filed under: uncultured Bacillota bacterium
Lineage: Bacteria; Bacillati; Bacillota
Description: bacterial SSU rRNA
Rfam family: Bacterial small subunit ribosomal RNA
Source: RNAcentral
GACGAACGCUGGCGGCGUGCCUAACACAUGCAAGUCGAGCGAGUGGAGUUCUUCGGAACAAAGCUAGCGGCGGACGGGUGAGUAACACGUGGGCAACCUGCCUCGUAGAGGGGAAUAGCCUCCCGAAAGGGAGAUUAAUACCGCAUAAGAUUGUAGCUUCGCAUGAAGUAGCAAUUAAAGGAGUAAUCCGCUAUGAGAUGGGCCCGCGGCGCAUUAGCUAGUUGGUGAGGUAACGGCUCACCAAGGCGACGAUGCGUAGCCGACCUGAGAGGGUGAUCGGCCACAUUGGGACUGAGACACGGCCCAGACUCCUACGGGAGGCAG